GACGAACGCUGGCGGCGUGCCUAAUACAUGCAAGUAGAACGCUGAAGCUUGGUGCUUGCACCGAGCGGAUGAGUUGCGAACGGGUGAGUAACGCGUAGGUAACCUGCCUGGUAGCGGGGGAUAACUAUUGGAAACGAUAGCUAAUACCGCAUAAGAGUAGAUGUUGCAUGACAUUUGCUUAAAAGGUGCAAUUGCAUCACUACCAGAUGGACCUGCGUUGUAUUAGCUAGUUGGUGAGGUAACGGCUCACCAAGGCAACGAUACAUAGCCGACCUGAGAGGGUGAUCGGCCACACUGGGACUGAGACACGGCCCAGACUCCUACGGGAGGCAGCAGUAGGGAAUCUUCGGCAAUGGACGGAAGUCUGACCGAGCAACGCCGCGGGAGGGAAGAAGGUUUUCGGAUCGUAAAGCUCUGUUGUAAGAGAAGAACGAGUGUGAGAGUGGAAAGUUCACACUGUGACGGUAUCUUACCAGAAAGGGACGGCUAACUACGUG
RNAcentral lists this ribosomal RNA (497 nucleotides) under uncultured bacterium. Its description in RNAcentral is "partial 16S ribosomal RNA". It matches the Rfam family "Bacterial small subunit ribosomal RNA", at positions 28 to 507 of the family's 1533-position model. The record is from RNAcentral.